This 495-nucleotide ribosomal RNA is filed under the name uncultured bacterium. RNAcentral's name for it is "partial 16S ribosomal RNA". It matches the Rfam family "Bacterial small subunit ribosomal RNA", at positions 29 to 506 of the family's 1533-position model. The record is from RNAcentral.
AUGAACGCUGGCGGCGUGCCUAAUACAUGCAAGUCGCGCGAACAGACGAGGAGCUUGCUCCUCUGACGUUAGCGGCGGACGGGUGAGUAACACGUGGAUAACCUACCUAUAAGACUGGGAUAACUUCGGGAAACCGGAGCUAAUACCGGAUAAUAUAUUGAACCGCAUGGUUCAAUAGUGAAAGACGGUUUUGCUGUCACUUAUAGAUGGAUCCGCGCCGCAUUAGCUAGUUGGUAAGGUAACGGCUUACCAAGGCAACGAUGCGUAGCCGACCUGAGAGGGUGAUCGGCCACACUGGAACUGAGACACGGUCCAGACUCCUACGGGAGGCAGCAGUAGGGAAGCUUCCGCAAUGGGCGAAAGCCUGACGGAGCAACGCCGCGUGAGUGAUGAAGGUCUUCGGAUCGUAAAACUCUGUUAUUAGGGAAGAACAAAUGUGUAAGUAACUAUGCACGUCUUGACGGUACCUAAUCAGAAAGCCACGGCUAACUACGU